Molecule: non-coding RNA, 158 nt
Filed under: Rhodoplanes roseus
Lineage: Bacteria; Pseudomonadati; Pseudomonadota; Alphaproteobacteria; Hyphomicrobiales; Nitrobacteraceae
Description: 6S / SsrS RNA
Rfam family: 6S / SsrS RNA
About the family: E. coli 6S RNA was the first non coding RNA to be sequenced, but its function was unknown until recently. It consists of 184 nucleotides that fold into an extended hairpin structure with a large single-stranded internal bulge.
Source: Rfam by way of RNAcentral
GCGGGGCUGCGGGGUUUGUUAGGGGUCUUUUCCCCGGGGCCUUAUCGAUCCUGAAGGGAGCUGUCCCUGGCCGGGCCCGUGGGCCCGGUCACAUGGCGCCCACCUACCAUGGUAGGGAACCCGGGAUCGCUUACUCCGACGGCUUUCGCGGCUCCGCA